RNAcentral lists this ribosomal RNA (1432 nucleotides) under metagenome. RNAcentral describes it as "bacterial SSU rRNA". It matches the Rfam family "Bacterial small subunit ribosomal RNA". The record is from RNAcentral.
AGAGCCUGAUCAUGGCCCAGGACGAUCCGCCUGGCGGCAGGCCCAACACACGCAAGUCGAACGGUACCGCGGCGCUUCCUUGCUUCUGCUGCUGACCGGCGGCGGACGGGCGAGUAAUGUCCGAAGCUGCCUGGUGGAGGGGAUAACUACUGGAAACGGUAGCUGAUACCGCAUAACGUCGCAAGACCAAAGAGGGUACCUUCGGGCCUCUUGCCAUCGGAUGUGCCCAGAUGGAUUAGCUAGUAGGGGGGCAGCGGCUCACCUGAAACGACGAUCCCUAGCUGGUCUGAGGAUGCCACACCGAACUGAGACGGUCCAGACUCCUACGGGAGGCAAUCGCGGAUAUUGCACAAUGGGCGCAAGCCUGAUGCAGCCAUGCCGCGUGUAUGAAGAAGGCCUUCGGGUUGAAAUACUUUCAGCGGGAGGAGGAGUCAAUCAAGAUUAAUACCUUUGCUCAUUGACGUUACCCGCAGAAAAGCACCGGCUAACUCCGUGCCAGCAGCCGCGGUAAUACGGAGGGUGCAAGCUUAAUCAGAUUACUGGCGUAAAGCGCACGCAGGCGUCAGAUGUGAAAUCCCGGGCCCAACCUGGAACGCAUCUGAUACUGCAGCAAGCAGGUCUCGUAGAGGGGUAAAUUCCAGGUGUAGCGGUGAAAUGCGUAGAGAUCUGGAGGAAUACCGGUGGCGAAGGCGGCCCCCUGGACGAAGACUGACGCUCAGGUGCGAAAGCGUAAGAAACAGGAUUAGAUACCCUGGUAGUCCACGCCGUAAACGAUGUCGACUUGGAGGUUGUGCCCUUGAGGCGUGGCUUCCGGAGCUAACGCGUUAAGUCGACCGCCUGGGAGUACGGCCGCAAGGUUAAACUCAAAAUUCGACGGGGGCCCGCACAAGCGGUGGAGCAUGUGGUUUAAUUGAUGCAACGCGAAGAACCUUACCUGGUCUUGACAUCCACGGAAGUUUUCAGAGAUGAAUGUGCCUUCGUGAACCGAGAUGGUGCUGCUGUCACGUGUUGUGAAUGUUGGGUUAAGUCCCGCAACGCGCAACCCUUAUCCUUGUUGCCAGCGGUCCGGCCGGGAACUCAAAGGAGACUGCCAGUGAUAAACUGGAGGUGGGGAUGACGUCAAGUCAUCAUGGCCCUUACGACCAGGGCUACACGUGCGUCAUGCAUACAAAGAGAAGCGACCUCGCGAGAGCAAGCGGACCUCAUAAAGUGCGUCGUAGUCCGGAUUGGAGUCUGCAACUCGACUCCUGAAGUCGGAAUCGCUAGUAAUCGUGGAUCAGAAUGCCACGGUGAAUACGUUCGGGCCUUGUACACACCGCCCGUCACACCAGGAGUGGGUUGCAAAAAGAUAAAUAACCUUCGGGAGGGCGUCACCACUUUGUGAUUCAUGACUGGGGGUGUAAUGAGUAACCGUAAAGGGAACCUGCGGUUG